UCAGUUUCUUUUGCAUUUUAAUAUUUCCUAUACAUUGAGGACAAUGCAUGAUUUAGGUGUGGGGUGCAUAUCUCUGAAUUUUACUUUUCAGUUUAUUUUUGCUUUAAUUUUUAGUUUGCUUGCAGUAGGUGAAUUUUUUUUUCAUUUUUAUUAUUUUUGCUUUCAAUAACAUACACAUGUAGCCACAGUUUUUGUUUUUGUUUUGAUUUGCUCUACUCAAACUGAUAGACUAUGUUAAAUGAGCUUUUUCUUUCCAUGACCCC
Molecule: long non-coding RNA, 263 nt
Filed under: Manihot esculenta (cassava)
Lineage: Eukaryota; Viridiplantae; Streptophyta; Magnoliopsida; Malpighiales; Euphorbiaceae
Description: long non-coding RNA (MESC_LNC000321)
Source: RNAcentral